Molecule: ribosomal RNA, 483 nt
Filed under: uncultured bacterium
Lineage: Bacteria
Description: bacterial SSU rRNA
Rfam family: Bacterial small subunit ribosomal RNA
Source: RNAcentral
GAUGAACGCUGGCGGCGUGCUUAACACAUGCAAGUCGAACGAAGACAUCUGAGUGCCUGCACUUGGAUGGACUGAGUGGCGGACGGGUGAGUAACGCGUGGGUAACCUGCCUUAUACAGGGGGAUAACAGUUGGAAACGACUGCUAAUACCGCAUAAGCGCACGGUAUCGCAUGAUACAGUGUGAAAAACUCCGGUGGUAUAAGAUGGACCCGCGUCUGAUUAGCUUGUUGGUGAGGUAACGGCCCACCAAGGCGACGAUCAGUAGCCGGCCUGAGAGGGUGAACGGCCACAUUGGGACUGAGACACGGCCCAAACUCCUACGGGAGGCAGCAGUGGGGAAUAUUGCACAAUGGGGGAAACCCUGAUGCAGCGACGCCGCGUGAGUGAUGAAGUAUUUCGGUAUGUAAAACUCUAUCAGCAGGGAAGAUAAUGACGGUACCUGACUAAGAAGCACCGGCUAAAUACGUGCCAGCAGCCGUCGG